UGGCUCAGGAUGAACGCUGGCGGCGUGCUUAACACAUGCAAGUCGAACGAUGAACCGGUGCUUGCACCGGGGAUUAGUGGCGAACGGGUGAGUAACACGUGAGUAACCUGCCCUUGACUCUGGGAUAAGCCUGGGAAACUGGGUCUAAUACCGGAUAUGACCUUCCAUCGCAUGGUGGUUGGUGGAAAGCUUUUGUGGUUUUGGAUGGACUCGCGGCCUAUCAGCUUGUUGGUGGGGUAAUGGCCUACCAAGGCGACGACGGGUAGCCGGCCUGAGAGGGUGACCGGCCACACUGGGACUGAGACACGGCCCAGACUCCUACGGGAGGCAGCAGUGGGGAAUAUUGCACAAUGGGCGCAAGCCUGAUGCAGCGACGCCGCGUGAGGGAUGACGGCCUUCGGGUUGUAAACCUCUUUCAGUAGGGAAGAAGCGAAAGUGACGGUACCUGCAGAAGAAGCGCCGGCUAACUACGUGCCAGCAGCCGCGGUAAUACGUAGGGCGCAAGCGUUAUCCGGA
RNAcentral lists this ribosomal RNA (516 nucleotides) under Pseudarthrobacter phenanthrenivorans. Its description in RNAcentral is "bacterial SSU rRNA". It matches the Rfam family "Bacterial small subunit ribosomal RNA", at positions 20 to 549 of the family's 1533-position model. Lineage: Bacteria; Bacillati; Actinomycetota; Actinomycetes; Micrococcales; Micrococcaceae. The record is from RNAcentral.